GAUGAAGAACGCAGUGAACUGCGAUAAGUAAUGUGAAUUGCAGAAUUCAGUGAAUCAUCGAGUCUUUGAACGCACAUUGCGCCCCCUGGCAUUCCGGGGGGCAUGCCUGUCCGAGCGUCAUUGCUGCCCAUCAAGCCCGGCUUGUGUGUUGGGUCGUCGUCCCCCCCGGGGGACGGGCCCGAAAGGCAGCGGCGGCACCGUGUCCGGUCCUCGAGCGUAUGGGGCUUUGUCACCCGCUCGAUUAGGGCCGGCCGGGCGCCAGCCGACGUCUCCAACCAUUUUUUUCAGGUUGACCUCGGAUCAGGUAGGGAUACCCGCUGAACUUAAGCAUAUCAAUAAGCGGAGGA
Molecule: unclassified non-coding RNA, 347 nt
Filed under: soil metagenome
Description: partial contains 5.8S ribosomal RNA, internal transcribed spacer 2, and large subunit ribosomal RNA
Rfam family: 5.8S ribosomal RNA (bases 1-120)
Source: RNAcentral